This is a long non-coding RNA of Corythoichthys intestinalis (scribbled pipefish), 181 nucleotides long. RefSeq lists it as uncharacterized. Lineage: Eukaryota; Metazoa; Chordata; Actinopteri; Syngnathiformes; Syngnathidae. The transcript is spliced from 3 exons. The record is from RefSeq and is a predicted model, not a curated record.
CGCGGGAUUCGUCAUGCCAUCUCGAUGUGUAGCGAUAUGAAUUACUCACAGGAAGACUCGAGACUCUAGGAGUGGUCCAAAAAAAAACUUCUCCUGCAAAGCCACGACAGCUUUGAAAACCUACAACAAUGCAACCUUGGUUUUCCAAAGACGAAGCCAAACAUAAAAAAUUAAGCGGCGG